GCUUUGCCAUAUAUCUUUGAAAACGAUGUAUACCUUAUUCCGUAAGGCGCCCACAGAACCUUCGAAAGAAUACCGCAAGACGUUGGCUUGAAGCUACAAACGUCAUAUAGACCUGAGUGUUUUGCAGUUGUUAUCAUUUGUCUUGAAGAACACAACUGCCUUAGUUCUGCUAAAUUAAGGACUCUAACGAUCUUUUGAUUUGUAGAAACGAGAGAUGUGCGUUUGAAAAGUAGCAACAUCUAUACAAGUAAUCUCUUGAUUACCAGGUGAAUAUUUUUCCGCUACGUCUGGCAUCUUAAAUGGUUUGAGUUUUACGUCCGGUAUCGUAUGAGGCGUUCCACCGAACGGUUGAUUCCCGGAACAAAGUGUGUCCACAAGUUUAGCAGGCGAAUACGCUACCUACUGCAUAAUCACCGAGACAGAUCUGGAUAUCAGAAUCUACUUGAAAUAAAUUCUUUUGAGUGCCUUAAGAUAGGCGAAAUAAAUAGGAUCAUCUUACGAAGCUCGCAUUGUGUUUUGUUUGGCUCACAAUGACGACACACGAACUGAUCGCAGACUAUUGUCACUCGCAAGUUUCCGCAUGUAAUAAGAAGAGAAAAUCGUUCCGUCAGUUCUACCAAAAAAUUGACGCCAUUUAGCACGCGUAUUCAUCACGAACGAAGCUGUCCCGCUCGGCAACGUCUCCAAGGGAGCCCGUCUGCUCCAUCGCUUGUCGUGUCACGGCCCGUCGUG
Long non-coding RNA from Varroa destructor (honeybee mite), 732 nucleotides. RefSeq lists it as uncharacterized. NCBI's taxonomy places the organism in Eukaryota, Metazoa, Arthropoda, Arachnida, Mesostigmata, Varroidae. The record is from RefSeq and is a predicted model, not a curated record.